RNAcentral lists this long non-coding RNA (1521 nucleotides) under Canis lupus familiaris (dog). RNAcentral's name for it is "lncRNA (ENSCAFG00030016827.1)". Lineage: Eukaryota; Metazoa; Chordata; Mammalia; Carnivora; Canidae. The record is from RNAcentral.
ACGUUACUCGCUCAGUGCUCACGGCCCAACGCGUCCCGAGCCCCGGGCUUGGCCGAGGCUCUGGGCCCGGGAGCCGAGGGGAGGAGCGGGGCUGCGGCACCUGGACACGGGAAUCCUUGCUCUCCCCACCUGGCUACACCGCUAACCCGCCAGCCUCCCCUCCCCCCCAACCCUGCUCGCUGGGGGGACAGGUCCCUACCCUCCUUCUGGCCCCCCGACAUCGAGUUCCCAAGGAACCUCAACCAGGAAUAAUUUACCUGCGUUGGCAAAGGAAAGUAAUUCCUAAACGAGUUCUUUUCUUGGUUUUAAUCUGGAAGAACUGCAAUCGGGUUAGCGGAGCCCGAGAGGCGCGGGGAGGGGGGUGUUGGUUCUUCAGGCACACGGAAGUCUAAAGCAUCGCGGAGCUCCCACUCGGGUUAGAAGGAGGGAUUGGAAGGAAGGGAAAUUUGGGGGUAAUAUGAACGACUACAUCUGCAAGUCCCGGUUAAUGAGUCCCAGGCCACACUGGGAUUCCGGGGAUUUUCAUGUUUUCUAGAUCCUGGAUGGUUUGGCUGAAACCCCUGCGUUCUAAUUCUGGCUAAGGUCCCUGGGGGUAGGGGUGAGGGCAGGGAAAGUCAGCUCACUCCAGAGCUAGAAAGUUAAGUGGCGUCAGAGGCAAAUGCACCACUUUGUGUCCCUCCCCCCCACCCCCGCCCGCUCCAGGACGCGCAGGGUCCCGGCGGGUCAAAGGCGCCGGAGACCCGGGCCUCCCGGAACCCGCUGUCAGUGCGGUCCUCUUCCUCAGCGCGGGUGUGAGCCUGGAGCUCGGAGCCCCUCCUCACUCGCCCCUCUCUGGAGCCUCGGGGAACCAUUUCAGAGGUUGCAUAGGUGUCAGGAGCGGAAGGAGGCAUAGCGGUCCGCGCACCACCGAGCCUGCGGCUUCCAUCCUUGGAAAAAGCUUGCAGCUCACCUCCGGGGUCGCGGCGGCCCCGAGCCUCUGGCCGCAGAGCGCCGGCCUCAGGUUCAAGCGCGCGCCGCGGCGGAGCAGUGGAGUUACCGCCCCCAUCACCCCGCCUCGCGCCUCGGGGUAGCUCCUGUUUCUCCCCAGCCGCCUCCGCACUCCUGCCAGCGCCCCCUCACCCCGCCCCGCCCGGGCCGGGGCAGCCACCCCAACACCGCCAGAUCUUCUGCCUCGCAGAGCGCCCACACUCGCCAACGCCCCCUAACCCCGCCCUCCCGCCGCCACAGCAGCGGCCACGCGCGACACUGAGGACCGUGACCACAAAGAUUGAGAGACGGCUACCGUCAGGAUUCCUGGGGAGGUGCAGCCAGCCUUCUGCGGAGUGCUCAGUGCACUAUAAGGCUGAGUCCUCCCGCGCAGGCAGACGGGCGCGCGCGGCCCGGGCACAGGAAUACCGAGGCCUUCUCAUGUUUCUUGACUGCGCGGCCCAGCCGGCGAACAUCCUGCGGGCGCGGUAUCCACGUUCCCGGGCCGGCGAGAGGAAGCCUCAGCACCCUCCCGGCCGCGGGGACUGCCGUUAA